UCUUCCUCAAUGGGCGAAAGCCUGAUGGAGCAACGCCGCGUGAGUGAAGAAGGUUUUNNNAUCGUNACACUCUGUUGUAAGGGNAGCNCAAGUACAGUAGUAACUGGCUGUACCUUGACGGUACCUUAUUAGAAAGCCACGGCUAACUACGUGCCAGCAGCCGCGGUAAUACGUAGGUGGCAAGCGUUGUCCGGAAUUAUUGGGCGUAAAGCGCGCGCAGGCGGUCCUUUAAGUCUGAUGUGAAAGCCCACGGCUCAACCGUGGAGGGUCAUUGGAAACUGGGGGACUUGAGUGCAGAAGAGGAAAGUGGAAUUCCAAGUGUAGCGGUGAAAUGCGUAGAGAUUUGGAGGAACACCAGUGGCGAAGGCGACUUUCUGGUCUGUAACUGACGCUGAGGCGCGAAAGCGUGGGGAGCAAACAGG
This 422-nucleotide ribosomal RNA is filed under the name uncultured bacterium. Its description in RNAcentral is "partial 16S ribosomal RNA". It matches the Rfam family "Bacterial small subunit ribosomal RNA", at positions 362 to 776 of the family's 1533-position model. The record is from RNAcentral.